CAUUAUAGAGAGCUACGGCUCCCUUUAUGCCAUUACCAUCUUGAUGUUUUCUUCUAUGUUGCUUCCACCUCCUAGAAAUGUGGACUCAAUUCUGGGUUCCAUGAUAGGUGGUGGGAGGUAUUUUAUACUAUUAUUCUUGCUUAGGCUGUUACUUUGUCUGAAUAUGAGGGAAAAUGUUACAAAACUUUCAACAACGGAUCUCUUGGCUCCUGCAUCGAUGAAGAACGCAGCGAAAUGCGAUAAUUAAUGUGAAUUGCAGAAUUCCGUGAAUCAUCGAGUCUUUGAACGCACAUUGCGCCACAUGGCAUUCCGUGUGGCAUGCCCAUCUCAGCGUCAGAAAAUAUUAUCAAAUUUUAGCAUUAUGCUAAACUUUGGAUCAUGUCAGGGAAGCUAUUACUUUUAUUGUGAUUGCUCUUUGAAAAUUCAUAGGUCUUCAAGUUGCUAUUUAUGGAACGUGAUGAAAAUUACUUCGUUCUUUUUUAGUUGUCUUGUAUAGUCCAAAACCUAUAUGCCUUUGGCAUCUUUCUUUAUUUGACCUGAGAUUGGGUAGGGAUACCCGCUGAACUUAAGCAUAUCA
Molecule: ribosomal RNA, 577 nt
Filed under: Hydnobolites sp. 10 RH-2012
Lineage: Eukaryota; Fungi; Ascomycota; Pezizomycetes; Pezizales; Pezizaceae
Description: eukaryotic LSU rRNA
Rfam family: 5.8S ribosomal RNA (bases 183-336)
Source: RNAcentral